RNAcentral lists this ribosomal RNA (498 nucleotides) under uncultured bacterium. RNAcentral describes it as "partial 16S ribosomal RNA". It matches the Rfam family "Bacterial small subunit ribosomal RNA", at positions 28 to 523 of the family's 1533-position model. The record is from RNAcentral.
GAUGAACGCUAGCGGCAGGCCUAAUACAUGCAAGUCGGACGGGAUUUGGGAGCUUGCUCCUAAUGAGAGUGGCGCACGGGUGCGUAACACGUAUGUAACCUACCUUAAUCAGGGGGAUAGCCUCUCGAAAGAGAGAUUAACACCGCAUAAUAUAUUUUUAUGGCAUCGUAGAAAUAUCAAAUAUUUAUAGGAUUAAGAUGGGCAUGCGGAACAUUAGCUAGUCGGUAAGGUAACGGCUUACCAAGGCUACGAUGUUUAGGGGAUCUGAGAGGAUGACCCGCCACACUGGUACUUAGACACGGACCAGACUCCUACGGGAGGCAGCAGUAAGGAAUAUUGGUCAAUGGGCGCAAGCCUGAACCAGCCAUGCCGCGUGCAGGAAGACGGCCCUAUGGGUUGUAAACUGCUUUUGUACCGGAAUAAACCCUUUUACGUGUAGAAGGCUGAAUGUACGGUAAGAAUAAGGAUCGGCUAACUCCUUGCCAGCCGCCGCGGUAA